Molecule: non-coding RNA, 347 nt
Organism: Camellia sinensis
Lineage: Eukaryota; Viridiplantae; Streptophyta; Magnoliopsida; Ericales; Theaceae
Source: RefSeq, a predicted model, not a curated record
UUGUAGAUUCGUGCUGACUUUUUUUUGUGAGUGCUUAAUUUGGCAGUUUGUAUGACAAUAUGUGGGAUGAUGGGAACUCACUAGGGCCUAAGGAAGUGCACAACUAUUUGACUAGGAUGAUGUACAAUCGUCACAACAAGUUCAACCCACUAUGGAAUUAACUUGUACUUGGAGGAGUGAAAAAUGGUCAGAAGUAUCUUGGAACGGUUAAUAUGAUUGGUGUUCAUUUCGAAGACGAUCAUGUGGCAACUGGAUUUGGUCAGUGCAUUGGAGUAAACAUCCUUGUUGUCUCAAAGUAUUACUGAAGGAUUACCUUGGCGAGACCUGCUGAGCUGCUUUGUCUCAUU